UCUCUUCUCAUUAAUUAGUUGUCACAUCAUAUUUUUUUGCUUAAGUGGCAUCUAUAUUACUACCUAUGUUACUUCCAUUGUGGGUAGUCUUAGAGCAUCUCAACCAGCGGCGCUAAAAACGCGCAUGAGCGGUAAACUGGGUUUUUAGCGAGUGCGGGACGAAAACGCGCGCUCUAGUGGACGCCGGAAAUUAGCGCCCGCUGCAAACAAUUGCGCGCACGCGGGAGAAAGCGGGCGGUCGCGCGCUAGAUUUGGCGCAUCGCUUCGGGCGCGCCUAUAAAUUGCGGCGCUCACCACGCGGCUUCCCAUCGCCCUCCCCACUGCCACGCGCGCUCUGCCGCUUCCUCGCCGCUUCCUCUACCGCACCGCCACCAAAGAGCCCCCAUCGAGCCACCAUGUCGCUGCGCCGCCGUGGAUCUUUGGGCUACACAGGCGUCCGCGCGCGCCCCUCCGGCGUCUACUACGCCGAGAUCCGGUCCGGCGACGUCCGCCUCGGCCNAUGAACUUCCACGACGUCUACACGCGCGAGCAGGCGCAGGCCGUCGCCCCUCCGCCUUGUCUGAUAACAGACCAGGACCGUGAGGACCAUCGUCGGCGGCAGCGCCGCCUCCUCAUCGCUGAGGAGGAUGAGCGAUCCAUGGCGUAGUGGCGCCGGCGCCACCCAGAGGACGUCGCCGUCGAAAACGCCUUCUGGGCGGAGAGGACAACAAGGUGCCGCGAGGAGCGGGAUGACAGGCGUCGGCGCAAGUCACUGGCCUUAUCGCAACGCAAGGUCGUCAACAACAAUGGAACGUCGUUCUUCGGGAGUGACGAUGAACGUUGGAAUGAUAUUUGACUCGAUACCUCGGACACCGAGGAUGAUGAUGAUGAGGAGCAGGAGGACACGAAGUAGGUUCUAGUAGUUACACCAUAGUUUUUAUCUAGUUGCAUCGUAGUUUUUUAUCUAUCUAUGCAAUGUAUCAUUUUAUCUAUGUAUUGUGAAAUAUCUAUGUAUCGUUUUAUCUAUCUAUCUAUGAAAUAUCUAUGUAUAUCUGUGUAUUAUGCGAGAGCGCGCGCGUUGCAUUUUAGCGCGCUUGCUAGAGACCCGAUUGGACCGGCCCAAGUCAGCGACCAGUAGCGAAUCUGGAGACCACAAAAAAAGUUAGCGACCAGCAGUUGAAAAAUCUGAAACAUUUCAGUAAAAAUAUCAGAAUAUAUUUUUAAAAUUCCGGAACAUUUUUUUAAAUUUCGGAACAUUUUUUCAAAUCCAGAACAUUUUUGAAUUCUGGAACAUUUUUUAUAAUUCCUAAACAUUUUCAAAUUCUGGAAUAUUUUUUAAAUUUCAAAAAAAAAUUCAAAUUCCGAAACAUUUUCUCAAAUUCCGGAACAUUUUCAAUUUUUCAAACCUUUUUUCAAAUUUCGGAACUUAUUUUUUGAAAAAUUCAAAACAUUUUAAUAAAAAUAUGAAACCAUUUUUUUAAAUUCCAGAACAUUUUUCAAAUUUUGGAACAUUUUUUAAAAUCCUAGAACUUUUUUCAAAUCCAGAACAUUUUUUUGAAUUCUUGAACAUUUUUUUAAUUCUGGGACAUUUUCAAAUUUCAAAACAUUUUUCAAAUUGAGAAACAGUUUUUUAAAUUUCAGAAUAUUUUUGGAUAAUCCAGAACAUUUUAAAAACAGAAACAGAAAAGAAAGAAAAAAAACCGGUUUAGGGAAUUUUCUAAAAAGUUUCCAAAACCCAAAAAACCGUCUGAUAACCUUUAAAAGGUUUUCGAAACCGAAGGUGUUGAACAUGUAAAUGGACCGGCCCAUUUAUGAAUACCCGUGUGCGAAGCCUCGACAUUUCGACAGAGAAUGCGACGAAUAAGGAUUUCCCUCCCUUCCCACCAAAUCCGCGUGGCCCUCCGACGUCGGUUCAUCUCCGACCACGACUGGAAAAAGUUCGAACCGCCACCACACGCACCGACUCCUUCCUGGAAACCCAUCGCCGCCACCAGCUCCAUGCCCUCUGUAAAUACCACACGAGCCCCCAAUGGUUUCCCCGCAUCGUAGGGUUUGAUUGAUUGACUUCUCCUCUCCGUUCCACCUCCCGUCGUCGGGUAAGCGCAAGUACGGUGUUCGUAAUCGGUUCCGAUCUCGCGCUCCCUUUUCGCUAUUCUUCGUCUGAUUGUAUUCCAGGCUAGGGUUCUGUCUUGGUCGAGGUGCUCCUCCCGUCGAUGUCGAGGUCUAGCUAGUCCCGGUGUUUUCUCCUCGUCUGUUCCGUUGAUAUUGGUAUCGUGUUCUGAACCUUGCUGCUUUGGUUUAGGGUCGAGGCUAAUCUACUUUGAUUUGACUUCUGAUCUGAUUUAGGGAUCUAUCAUGCUCUGGUUGCGAUGUGAUUUAGGGUCGCGUCUUAUCCUUUAUAUUAUUAUCAUGGUCAUGAUUGCUUAUUGGAUUUAAGGUUGUGAUGAGAAAUGGAGAUUAUAUUUGGCGUGAAUAACGAGGUCUGUCGGUAUAGAUACGUGGAGGUGGAGCAGUUUGUUUUGUUUCAUUUCUGUUUGUUCUGGAAUCUGGAGGAUUGGUCUGGUCGGUUUAGUUGGUUCCGUGGAGAUGUUUGACAUGAUCCGAAUGAGAGAUUGAAGGUUGUGGUUUCAUUUUGGCUUGGUCAGUUCAAGGUGUUUAUAUUUUUGUGGCGAAAAACAACGGGUUGGAGACAGUUCACAGUCAAAAUUCUGCUGUUAUUUUUGCUUUUGAUCCCGUUCCUUCAUACUUGGUCAGACUCAAUAAAAAUUGGAGGAAGUUGGAAAAAGGUUUGCUAGGUCUAUUUGGAUAUAUUUGCUUUCGCCUAUCAGCCUAUACACGUCAGAUUAUAUGGAAAGGAUUGUGCUAUAUUACCAUGUUAUAAACUGUGUUGACAUGUUCAUGGCGGAGGUGAUUCUUCAGUGGCUAUGUUUUGGUGUCAACUUUGGUUUGUUUCAUUUCAAGAUUCAUAGGAAAAUCGGAGGUGCUUGUUUUGUUUGCGUUCUAGAUUUAAUUUCUCAGGAAGCACCUUAAAUGAACAUGGAAGUUUGCUUUUGAAGUGAUCUGUUUGAAGGUUGUUUCAACUACAGUGAAGAUGCUCUUGGUUUGUCUCUGCAGAAUUACUUCACUGUUGCUGUGUUUUUCUUUGGUGGUAUGUCAAGGUGUAUUCAGAUGCUGGUUACUGUGUUGGAAUCUACCAAUCCUUCUGAUCACUAGUUUGUGUGUAUGAUUUUCUAAACGGAUAUUUGGUUGGGCUUCAGCUGGUUUCAUGUUCUGUCCGGUGUUGGAUUAGUCUUAGGUUGGUAAUUCGUAUUCUUAUUGUAAUCUGCAGCCAUGUUUUGUUAAUUAGUAUGUUCUAAUGCAAUUUAUGCUGUACACAAUUGUCAAUUAUGCAUCUGGUCUGAUGUUGCGAACUGUAACUGAUGUAAUUGUUGAAUGAUAUGUAUGGAUGCCUUAAUUUAGCCUUUCGUCGUCUGUCCAGUGUUGGAUUAGUCUUAGGUUGGUAAUUAGUAUUCUUAUUGUAAUCUGCAGCCAUGUUUUGUUAAUUAGUAUGUUCUAAUGCAAUUUAUGCUGUACACCAUUGUCAAUUAUGCAUCUGGUCUGAUGUUGCGAACUGUAACUGAUGUAAUUGUUGAAUGAUAUAUAUGGAUGCCUUAAUUUAGCCCUUCGUCGUCGCUUGGUUGGGUGUAUAAAAGCUAUAACCAAAUAGCAACUGAAUUUCAUAGCUUGAUGUUCUUACUCCCUGCAUAAGUUACAUUUUUAUUCAUUUUGCUUGGUUGGGGUGUAUAAUAGUUGUAACCAAAUAGCAACUGAAUUUCAUAGCUUGAUGUUCUUCCUCCCUGCAUAAGUUACAUUUUUAUUCAUUGUUAUCUGUUAAAAUUGAAUGGAGAUUGUUGUGAGCAUCCUGUUUUUCUAGUUGCCAUGAUCUCAAUUUAGUAAUGUUGACUAUUGACCUAACAUUCUGAACUUUGCUCCGUUAUCCUUUGUUAUGUUGUCCGUUCAUCCGUUUGGUCAGUUUAACUGUGAAAUAUGAUGGUUGUAUUUUCUUAUUCUGUCCUAUAAGUAUGCCCAAGAUUCAUUAUUAUCAC
RNAcentral lists this long non-coding RNA (4064 nucleotides) under Hordeum vulgare. RNAcentral's name for it is "long non-coding RNA (HVUL_LNC012646)". Lineage: Eukaryota; Viridiplantae; Streptophyta; Magnoliopsida; Poales; Poaceae. The record is from RNAcentral.